This 492-nucleotide ribosomal RNA is filed under the name uncultured bacterium. RNAcentral's name for it is "partial 16S ribosomal RNA". It matches the Rfam family "Bacterial small subunit ribosomal RNA", at positions 29 to 507 of the family's 1533-position model. The record is from RNAcentral.
AGUGAACGCUGGCGGUAGGCCUAACACAUGCAAGUCGAACGGCAGCACAGUAAGAGCUUGCUCUUACGGGUGGCGAGUGGCGGACGGGUGAGGAAUACAUCGGAAUCUACUUUUUCGUGGGGGAUAACGUAGGGAAACUUACGCUAAUACCGCAUACGACCUACGGGUGAAAGCAGGGGAUCUUCGGACCUUGCGCGAUUGAAUGAGCCGAUGUCGGAUUAGCUAGUUGGCGGGGUAAAGGCCCACCAAGGCGACGAUCCGUAGCUGGUCUGAGAGGAUGAUCAGCCACACUGGAACUGAGACACGGUCCAGACUCCUACGGGAGGCAGCAGUGGGGAAUAUUGGACAAUGGGCGCAAGCCUGAUCCAGCCAUACCGCGUGGGUUAAGAAGGCCUUCGGGUUGUAAAGCCCUUUUGUUGGGAAAGAAAAGCAGCAGGUUAAUACCCCGCUGUUCUGACGGUACCUAAAGAAUAAGCACCGGCUAACUUCGUG